CGGUGUGUAGCGCAGCUUGGUAGCGCACUUCGCUGGGGGCGAAGGGGUCGUAGGUUCGAAUCCUAUCACACCGACCA
RNAcentral lists this transfer RNA (77 nucleotides) under Paraglaciecola polaris. Its description in RNAcentral is "tRNA-Pro". It matches the Rfam family "tRNA". Rfam says of the family: Transfer RNA (tRNA) molecules are approximately 80 nucleotides in length. The record is from RNAcentral. Lineage: Bacteria; Pseudomonadati; Pseudomonadota; Gammaproteobacteria; Alteromonadales; Alteromonadaceae. RNAcentral also lists the same sequence under 5 other names.